RNAcentral lists this ribosomal RNA (512 nucleotides) under uncultured bacterium. Its description in RNAcentral is "bacterial SSU rRNA". It matches the Rfam family "Bacterial small subunit ribosomal RNA", at positions 1019 to 1529 of the family's 1533-position model. The record is from RNAcentral.
CGCAAGAGCAAGGAUACAGGUGGUGCAUGGUUGUCGUCAGCUCGUGUCGUGAGAUGUUGGGUUAAGUCCCGCAACGAGCGCAACCCUUGUUGUUAAUUGCUAACAGGUUAAGCUGAGCACUUUAGCGAGACAGCCUAGGUUAACUAGGAGGAAGGUGGGGAUGACGUCAAAUCAUCAUGCCCCUUACGUUUAGGGCUACACACGUGCUACAAUGGUGAGAACAGAGAGAAGCAAGCUAGUGAUAGUGAGCAAAACUUAUAAAACUCAUCUCAGUUCGGAUCGCAGGCUGAAACUCGCCUGUAUGAAGAUGGAGUUGCUAGUAAUCGCGAAUCAGAAUGUCGCGGUGAAUACGUUCCCGGGUCUUGUACACACCGCCCGUCACACCAUGAGAGUUGGCAACACCCGAAACCUGUGGGCUAACCAUAUAGGAGGCAGCAGUCUAAGGUGGGGUCAGUGAUUGGGGUGAAGUCGUAACAAGGUAGCCGUAGGAGAACCUGCGGUUGGAUCACCUC